Molecule: transfer RNA, 22 nt
Filed under: Bemisia tabaci
Lineage: Eukaryota; Metazoa; Arthropoda; Insecta; Hemiptera; Aleyrodidae
Also listed under: 12 other names
Description: partial tRNA-Leu
Source: RNAcentral
UAUGGCAGAUUAGUGCAUUGGA